This 1741-nucleotide ribosomal RNA is filed under the name Escherichia coli. RNAcentral's name for it is "partial 23S ribosomal RNA". It matches the Rfam family "Bacterial large subunit ribosomal RNA", at positions 431 to 2157 of the family's 2925-position model. Lineage: Bacteria; Pseudomonadati; Pseudomonadota; Gammaproteobacteria; Enterobacterales; Enterobacteriaceae. The record is from RNAcentral.
AUCCUGUCUGAAUAUGGGGGGACCAUCCUCCAAGGCUAAAUACUCCUGACUGACCGAUAGUGAACCAGUACCGUGAGGGAAAGGCGAAAAGAACCCCGGCGAGGGGAGUGAAAAAGAACCUGAAACCGUGUACGUACAAGCAGUGGGAGCACGCUUAGGCGUGUGACUGCGUACCUUUUGUAUAAUGGGUCAGCGACUUAUAUUCUGUAGCAAGGUUAACCGAAUAGGGGAGCCGAAGGGAAACCGAGUCUUAACUGGGCGUUAAGUUGCAGGGUAUAGACCCGAAACCCGGUGAUCUAGCCAUGGGCAGGUUGAAGGUUGGGUAACACUAACUGGAGGACCGAACCGACUAAUGUUGAAAAAUUAGCGGAUGACUUGUGGCUGGGGGUGAAAGGCCAAUCAAACCGGGAGAUAGCUGGUUCUCCCCGAAAGCUAUUUAGGUAGCGCCUCGUGAAUUCAUCUCCGGGGGUAGAGCACUGUUUCGGCAAGGGGGUCAUCCCGACUUACCAACCCGAUGCAAACUGCGAAUACCGGAGAAUGUUAUCACGGGAGACACACGGCGGGUGCUAACGUCCGUCGUGAAGAGGGAAACAACCCAGACCGCCAGCUAAGGUCCCAAAGUCAUGGUUAAGUGGGAAACGAUGUGGGAAGGCCCAGACAGCCAGGAUGUUGGCUUAGAAGCAGCCAUCAUUUAAAGAAAGCGUAAUAGCUCACUGGUCGAGUCGGCCUGCGCGGAAGAUGUAACGGGGCUAAACCAUGCACCGAAGCUGCGGCAGCGACGCUGAUGCGUUGUUGGGUAGGGGAGCGUUCUGUAAGCCUGCGAAGGUGUGCUGUGAGGCAUGCUGGAGGUAUCAGAAGUGCGAAUGCUGACAUAAGUAACGAUAAAGCGGGUGAAAAGCCCGCUCGCCGGAAGACCAAGGGUUCCUGUCCAACGUUAAUCGGGGCAGGGUGAGUCGACCCCUAAGGCGAGGCCGAAAGGCGUAGUCGAUGGGAAACAGGUUAAUAUUCCUGUACUUGGUGUUACUGCGAAGGGGGGACGGAGAAGGCUAUGUUGGCCGGGCGACGGUUGUCCCGGUUUAAGCGUGUAGGCUGGUUUUCCAGGCAAAUCCGGAAAAUCAAGGCUGAGGCGUGAUGACGAGGCACUGCGGUGCUGAAGCAACAAAUGCCCUGCUUCCAGGAAAAGCCUCUAAGCAUCAGGUAACAUCAAAUCGUACCCCAAACCGACACAGGUGGUCAGGUAGAGAAUACCAAGGCGCUUGAGAGAACUCGGGUGAAGGAACUAGGCAAAAUGGUGCCGUAACUUCGGGAGAAGGCACGCUGAUAUGUAGGUGAAGUCCCUCGCGGAUGGAGCUGAAAUCAGUCGAAGAUACCAGCUGGCUGCAACUGUUUAUUAAAAACACAGCACUGUGCAAACACGAAAGUGGACGUAUACGGUGUGACGCCUGCCCGGUGCCGGAAGGUUAAUUGAUGGGGUUAGCGCAAGCGAAGCUCUUGAUCGAAGCCCCGGUAAACGGCGGCCGUAACUAUAACGGUCCUAAGGUAGCGAAAUUCCUUGUCGGGUAAGUUCCGACCUGCACGAAUGGCGUAAUGAUGGCCAGGCUGUCUCCACCCGAGACUCAGUGAAAUUGAACUCGCUGUGAAGAUGCAGUGUACCCGCGGCAAGACGGAAAGACCCCGUGAACCUUUACUAUAGCUUGACACUGAACAUUGAGCCUUGAUGUGUAGGAUAGGUGGGAGGCUU